AACGAACGCUGGCGGCGUGCUUAACACAUGCAAGUCGAACGCGAACGUUUCCUUCGGGGAACUAGUAGAGUGGCGCACGGGUGAGUAACGCGUAAGUAAUCUACCCUCGCAUCCGGGAUAACCCACCGAAAGGUGUGCUAAUACCUGAUACGUCUGGACUUAUACAUUGAAUUCAGAGAAAGGUGGCCUCUUCAUGAAAGCUACUGUGCGGGGAGGAGCUUGCGUACCAUUAGCUAGUUGGUAGGGUAACGGCCUACCAAGGCGAUGAUGGUUAGCGGGUCUGAGAGGAUGAUCCGCCACACUGGAACUGAAACACGGACCAGACUCCUACGGGAGGCAGCAGUGAGGAAUAUUGCGCAAUGGGGGCAACCCUGACGCAGCGACGCCGCGUGGAUGAUGAAGGCCUUCGGGUUGUAAAAUCCUGUCAGAUGGGAAGAAGUGACAGUUAGCCAAUACCUGACUGUUUUGACGGUACCAUCAAAGGAAGCACCGGCUAACUCCGUG
This 504-nucleotide ribosomal RNA is filed under the name uncultured delta proteobacterium. RNAcentral describes it as "bacterial SSU rRNA". It matches the Rfam family "Bacterial small subunit ribosomal RNA", at positions 29 to 507 of the family's 1533-position model. The record is from RNAcentral. Lineage: Bacteria; Deltaproteobacteria.